Molecule: long non-coding RNA, 1458 nt
Organism: Pezoporus occidentalis (night parrot)
Lineage: Eukaryota; Metazoa; Chordata; Aves; Psittaciformes; Psittacidae
Exons: 2
Source: RefSeq, a predicted model, not a curated record
GCAUUUUUGAGGAGUUACUGGAUGCAGAAGUAACAAAGGAAGGCAGCCAGAUCCCAACUCAGAAUCAAGCAAGAAGAUACCUUCCAGAUUCUGGUCCAAGUGAUUAGACUUUGAUAAAGUUCCUGCAUUUGGGAACAGGCCACCAGACAGCACUGCCUGUUCAAAUGCACAAGUCUUGACAGAGUAGAAAAGCUCGUCAGAAACAUUAAGUCCUUUAGGUCACCAGGUAUUGAUGAUGGAUCUGAAUUUGUCAUAAGCACAAGAUUUGUUAGGCUUAAGCUCUCAUCAGAGCACUCUAAAAUCCCACAAAGGGAAAAGCAAACUCCCCUUUUCUCUGGGUGUUUUUUCCUUCCUUUCUCAGGAGCCAGCAUCAGAUUGAAAAUAAACCCUGAUAACAGCUCCUCUGCUGGAAAGGGACAUUCAUGUGCACAUCACAUCGAGUAGCUACAAGGCUUCCAAUAUUUUAACUCCUAAUAAAAAGUCAUGAAUUCUGUUCCAGAUCAAACCCAUUCAAAACUCAUCAGGAGAAGUUCCUGCUUUUCUUAACCAUCCCAGCUACAAACCCGGUUGGAGCAGAGCUUGGAGUCACCGGCUCUACUUGGACUCCAUCACCAAAACACUUCCCCAAGAUCCUCACAGCCCCACAGACAAAACCCAGCUUCUUCUCCCAAAGGCUGGCUCAGUCACUUUGUGGUGAUGCAUACAAGCAGCAGUUCUGACUAUCGGGAUGCAGGCAGAAGGGGAAAUUGGGAAUAAAGAUAAACAGGCCCUAGCUUAGCAGAGCAGCUUUGACCAUGACCACACUCACAUCCCCAGAGGGCCACCAAACCUUAAAUUAGUUUUUCCCUACUCUGUGCCAGACCCAAUAAGCCAGCUGAUGCUGGGCUCUCCCUCUGGAAAUGGCUGGUCCUGAAGCAGAAGCUGAUGGACACCACAAAUGACAGAACACCAGGAACAGUGAGCCAGCUCACACAGAGACUGUUGCUACAAACCCCUUGGCCAUUUUCACCCCUAGCCAAUUGUUUUAUAGGCACUAUUUUACAUGAAAGAGACUAACAAUAAAUGGGGCCCUCUUCCUUUUAACCUUCGCAUAAAGCUGAUUAAUAGAAUCAUAGAAUGGUUUGGGCUGAAGGGACCUUAAAGCUCAUCGAGUUCCAGCCCCCUGCCAUGGGCAGGGACACCUUCUACUAGAGCAGGCUGCUCAAUCAAUGCUAAAUCACAGAAGUUCCUGCACAAGCAAUUCCAGAUCUCCCACUAUAUUAAAAUUAAAGUAAAAAUUGUGACUUUAAAGCAACACCGCAUUCAACUGCGGCAUCCAAAAUAAUAUUACAACACAAGGAUGCAAACUUCCGACACAAAUGCAACUGUAAAAGCUAAAAAUCAGGGUCCCAACUAGAUUUCCUUUGGAAACAGGGGGGAGUGCUCAAAUCUUAAAUUUGACAAAAGUAAUCUUUCCCA